CAUCAUCAGCAUAUCUAUUUCAUCGAUUAGCAUUUGCUCAAAUAAGAUACAAGAGUCUCGUUUUAGGGGAAAACAAAGAACCUAGAGAAUUCCCAAAGUAUGGCAGUUUCUUUAACAAUAUCAUCAUACCUAGGAGAAUAAUGGAUUUGAUCAAUGAAUGGCUCUAGACGUUCACGCUCAGAAGCAGUUAAAAGACGUGGCACACCACUUUUCGACAUAUCUCCUCCUUAAUACUCAAAAA
Molecule: non-coding RNA, 241 nt
Organism: Schizosaccharomyces pombe (fission yeast)
Lineage: Eukaryota; Fungi; Ascomycota; Schizosaccharomycetes; Schizosaccharomycetales; Schizosaccharomycetaceae
Source: the annotation of a GenBank genome assembly